Molecule: ribosomal RNA, 829 nt
Filed under: Microbacterium sp. VC-YC6635
Lineage: Bacteria; Bacillati; Actinomycetota; Actinomycetes; Micrococcales; Microbacteriaceae
Description: bacterial SSU rRNA
Rfam family: Bacterial small subunit ribosomal RNA
Source: RNAcentral
AACGAUGAAUCCCAGCUUGCUGGGUGGAUUAGUGGCGAACGGGUGAGUAACACGUGAGCAACCUGCCCCUGACUCUGGGAUAAGCGCUGGAAACGGCGUCUAAUACUGGAUAUGUCCCAUCACCGCAUGGUGUGUGGGUGGAAAGAUUUUUCGGUUGGGGAUGGGCUCGCGGCCUAUCAGCUUGUUGGUGAGGUAAUGGCUCACCAAGGCGUCGACGGGUAGCCGGCCUGAGAGGGUGACCGGCCACACUGGGACUGAGACACGGCCCAGACUCCUACGGGAGGCAGCAGUGGGGAAUAUUGCACAAUGGGCGCAAGCCUGAUGCAGCAACGCCGCGUGAGGGAUGACGGCCUUCGGGUUGUAAACCUCUUUUAGCAGGGAAGAAGCGAAAGUGACGGUACCUGCAGAAAAAGCACCGGCUAACUACGUGCCAGCAGCCGCGGUAAUACGUAGGGUGCAAGCGUUAUCCGGAAUUAUUGGGCGUAAAGAGCUCGUAGGCGGUUUGUCGCGUCUGCUGUGAAAUUCCGAGGCUCAACCUCGGGCUUGCAGUGGGUACGGGCAGACUAGAGUGCGGUAGGGGAGAUUGGAAUUCCUGGUGUAGCGGUGGAAUGCGCAGAUAUCAGGAGGAACACCGAUGGCGAAGGCAGAUCUCUGGGCCGUAACUGACGCUGAAGAGCGAAAGGGUGGGGAGCAAACAGGCUUAAAUACCCUGGUAGUCCACCCCGUAAACGUUGGGAACUAGUUGUGGGGUCCUUUUCACGGAUUCCGUGACGCAGCUAACGCAUUAAGUUCCCCGCCUGGGGAGUACGGCCGCAAGGCUAAAACUCAA